This 793-nucleotide ribosomal RNA is filed under the name uncultured Bacillota bacterium. Its description in RNAcentral is "bacterial SSU rRNA". It matches the Rfam family "Bacterial small subunit ribosomal RNA", at positions 59 to 832 of the family's 1533-position model. The record is from RNAcentral. Lineage: Bacteria; Bacillati; Bacillota.
AAGUCGAACGCGCAAAGGGGAGCAAUCCCUGAGUAGAGUGGCAAACCGGUGAGUAACACGUGGGUGACCUGCCUUCGAGUGGGGGAUAACGUCCCGAAAGGGACGCUAAUACCGCAUGACAUCCUGCCUUUGGACAGGCAGAGAUCAAAGCUGGGGAUCGCAAGACCUGGCGCUUGAAGAGGGGCCCGCGCCUGAUUAGCUAGUUGGUGAGGUAACGGCUCACCAAGGCGACGAUCAGUAUCCGGCCUGAGAGGGCGGACGGACACACUGGGACUGAGACACGGCCCAGACUCCUACGGGAGGCAGCAGUGGGGAAUUGUUCGCAAUGGGCGCAAGCCUGACGACGCAACGCCGCGUGGAGGACGAAGAUCUUCGGGUCGUAAACUCCUGUCGAGCGGGAAGAACGUUUCGUGGGUGAAUAACCCGCGGAAGUGACGGUACCGCUAAAGGAAGCCCCGGCUAACUCCGUGCCAGCAGCCGCGGUAAUACGGGGGGGGCAAGCGUUGUUCGGAAUUACUGGGCGUAAAGGGCUCGUAGGUGGCCAACUAAGUCAGACGUGAAAUCCCCAGGCUCAACUUGGGAACUGCGUCUGAUACUGGAUGGCUUGAAUUCAGGAGAGGGAUGCAUAAUUCCAGGUGUAGCGGUGAAAUGCGUAAAUAUCUGGAGGAAUACCGGUGGCGAAGGCGGCAUCCUGUACCGAGAUUGACACUGAAAAACGAAAGCCAAGGGAGCAAACUGGAUUCAUACCCCGGUAUUCCUGGCCCUAAACAUCAAUGCUUGGUGUGACAGGUAU